AGUGAACGCUGGCGGUAGGCCUAACACAUGCAAGUCGAACGGCAGCACAGUAAGAGCUUGCUCUUACGGGUGGCGAGUGGCGGACGGGUGAGGAAUACAUCGGAAUCUACUUUUUCGUGGGGGAUGACGUAGGGAAACUUACGCUAAUACCGCAUACGACCUACGGGUGAAAGCAGGGGAUCUUCGGACCUUGCGCGAUUGAAUGAGCCGAUGUCGGAUUAGCUAGUUGGCGGGGUAAAGGCCCACCAAGGCGACGAUCCGUAGCUGGUCUGAGAGGAUGAUCAGCCACACCGGAACUGAGACACGGUCCAGACUCCUACGGGAGGCAGCAGUGGGGAAUAUUGGACAAUGGGCGCAAGCCUGAUCCAGCCAUACCGCGUGGGUGAAGAAGGCCUUCGGGUUGUAAAGCCCUUUUGUUGGGAAAGAAAAGCAGCAGGUUAAUACCCCGCUGUUCUGACGGUACCCAAAGAAUAAGCACCGGCUAACUUCGUG
RNAcentral lists this ribosomal RNA (492 nucleotides) under uncultured bacterium. RNAcentral's name for it is "partial 16S ribosomal RNA". It matches the Rfam family "Bacterial small subunit ribosomal RNA", at positions 29 to 507 of the family's 1533-position model. The record is from RNAcentral.